CAACAUCAUCAUCACCAUCAUCAUCAAAACCACUGCCACCCCCAGCCCAGGAGGAGAAGGAAGAAAGGUCAUUUUUGGCCACAUCCCUACAAGGAGCCACGGUUCUCCAGGAAGCGGUAUCUUCUCUGCCCACAGCCAACAUCACCAUUAAGAAACUCCUGGCCCCUGGGAGGGGCUUGUUACUACUGAUUCAGGGGUUCGUUCAACCAGCACAUAUUAAUCUCCUACUGUGUGCCAGAGGCUGAGGAUAGAGAGACAAAACUGAAACAGCCCCUGCCCUCCAGAAGCUUACAUUCUAUCAAGGGGAAACCUGUCCAUAGGAUCAUGGAGAUGGGGAAACUGAGGCCCACAGAGGUUAAGUGACUUACCCAGGAUCACAUGGUAGGUCCUUUGUCAUGAGGAAGUAUAGUCCUAAAAAGAUGGUGGAGGAUGAUUUAAGGAUUUUGUCUGGUGAAGGUGUGCUAAGGAUCCACACUGUGUGUGUGUGUCCCAUCGGGCAGAGAAUCAAGACACAGAAAUGAGCAUCUUCUUCCCCAUGAUUUUUCUGCUGACUGAUGUAUGACAUUCAAGCAAGCAGUCAAGUUCAUGUAGGCAACUCAAGGCUAAGGUAUUUUGUAGAACCAUUGUUAAUGCCUCUCCACUCUCCAAGAACCUCUUUAUGCAGAGAUGGGGCCACAUUAAGCAUUACCUUGAGAGUGGUUGGUAAAUGAAAAUUCUCCAUGGUCCUCUGGAGCUCUCUGGGAUAUGUGUCUUCUAAAGGUGCAUCUGAGGUGUUUUGGAAGUAUUUUUCUGGUUACCAUGACAAUAUCUAAGUUACCUAUCCUUCCCCCAAUCUCAGCAAAAUACAGCUUACAUGCAGGAAUGCACCACACACACAAUGCCUCCAAGUUUUUAGCAUUGCCCUGGGUUAAGCACCAGAAUUAAGCAGAAGUACAUCCAGCACACAAUCACAGACUGUCAGAGUGUUGAUGCUUGUCGAUUUUGUGACUUUCAUCUCUCUGGGCCUCAGUUUCCUCACCUGUCAAAUAAGGAAGUUGAACUACCUGGCCUCUGAGAUUCACUCCAGCCCUACCUAUGAUCCUACAACCCCUCUAGAACUCAGUUCCCUCAUCUGCAAAAUGAGGAGGUUGGACUUAUUUCUGAGGUCCCUUCUAGAUCUAAAUCUAUAAUCCCA
Long non-coding RNA from Phascolarctos cinereus (koala), 1174 nucleotides. RefSeq lists it as uncharacterized. NCBI's taxonomy places the organism in Eukaryota, Metazoa, Chordata, Mammalia, Diprotodontia, Phascolarctidae. The record is from RefSeq and is a predicted model, not a curated record.